GACGAACGCUGGCGGCGUGCUUAACACAUGCAAGUCGUACGGUAAGGCCCUUUCGGGGGUACACGAGUGGCGAACGGGUGAGUAACACGUGAGUAACCUGCCCACAACUUUGGGAUAACGCUAGGAAACUGGUGCUAAUACUGGAUAUGUGCCCCUGCUGCAUGGUGGGGGUUGGAAAGCUCCGGCGGUUGUGGAUGGACUCGCGGCCUAUCAGCUUGUUGGUGGGGUAGUGGCCUACCAAGGCGGCUACGGGUAGCCGGCCUGAGAGGGUGACCGGCCACAUUGGGACUGAGAUACGGCCCAGACUCCUACGGGAGGCAGCAGUGGGGAAUAUUGCACAAUAGGCGCAAGCCUGAUGCAGCAACGCCGCGUGCGGGAUGACGGCCUUCGGGUUGUAAACCGCUUUCAGCAGGGACGAAGCUUUUUGUGACGGUACCUGCAGAAGAAGCACCGGCUAACUACGUG
This 465-nucleotide ribosomal RNA is filed under the name uncultured bacterium. RNAcentral describes it as "partial 16S ribosomal RNA". It matches the Rfam family "Bacterial small subunit ribosomal RNA", at positions 28 to 507 of the family's 1533-position model. The record is from RNAcentral.